GACGAACGCUGGCGGCGUGCUUAACACAUGCAAGUCGAACGGAAAGGGCCUGCUUGCAGGGGAGUCGAGGGGCGGACGGGUGAGUAACACGUAGAUGAUCUGCACUUCACUUCGAGAUAAGCCUGGGCAACUGGGGGUAAGGCCAGUAAGGGGCCAUCUUGCGUGUUAUGGUGGGAGAGUUUGUUCGGUCUUGGAUGGGCUCGCGUCCUAUCAGCUGGUUGGUGGGGUAAUGGCCUACCAAGGCGGGGACGGGUAGGCGGCCUGAGUGGGUGGACGGCCACGUUGGGACUGCUACACGGCCCAGCAGCCGGCGGUAGGCAACAGUGGGGAAAAGUGCACUACGGGGGCGACGCGUGUGCAGCGACGGCGCGCGGGUGGUGACCGUCUUCGGGUUGUAAACAACUUUCUCCAGGGUCUAAUCGUGUUGUGACGGUAUCUAGAUAAGAAGCACCGGCUAACUACGUG
RNAcentral lists this ribosomal RNA (465 nucleotides) under uncultured bacterium. Its description in RNAcentral is "partial 16S ribosomal RNA". It matches the Rfam family "Bacterial small subunit ribosomal RNA", at positions 28 to 507 of the family's 1533-position model. The record is from RNAcentral.